Salvia hispanica is the source of this 1061-nucleotide long non-coding RNA. RefSeq lists it as uncharacterized. The record is from RefSeq and is a predicted model, not a curated record. NCBI's taxonomy places the organism in Eukaryota, Viridiplantae, Streptophyta, Magnoliopsida, Lamiales, Lamiaceae.
UGAAAUAGUUUAAUUUAGGUGAAGAGAGAGAAAAUUAAUAAGAAAUAUUGACGUUGUGGUAGAAAAGCUUAUUUACAAUAAGAACAAAAGGCAGAAAAAUCGAAAAUGAAAAGAUAAAAAAGAAAUUUAAUGAUAUUGAUGGCUUGGAAAAUAAAGUACCGUAAUUGAUUUUCUGUUGACAAGCAUCUAAAAUCAAGGAUAAUUGGCUUUCUGUUAAUAAAUAUCUAAAAUUAAGGAAAUUAGCCUAUGUGAGAGUAUUAGUCGCUGAGCAGAUCUUUUCUCAUUAAAUAGAAACUAAAAAUAGAUUGGGGGAAGAACAACAAAAUUCAUCGGUCUAAAAGAAGUGUCAUGCAAAAUUCAUCACUCCACAACCCAUUUAUUUCUCUCCCUCUCUUCUCCCACCUACCACAUUCUCUUAUUCCACUCCACCUAACACAUUACAUUUCAUUCCAUAUAUACAUAACUCUAAAGAAAUUUAAAGGAUUCAUCUUCUCUCCUCUUCUAUUCCUCUUUUUUAUUAAUUCGAAGAGAAAAGAGAAGCAAAUUCCGUCGUCCUUUAUUAAUUCCACCGAUAUCUCAUGGAGGAGGAAACGACAAAGGAACUACAACUAGGUCAAUCUAUUUCCUCAAUAAAUCCACUACGUCGGUUUGAGCGGUAUUGGAAAAACUACACACAUCACGUCACACAUAGAGGUGGCCGCUGGAGCAAGGUGGCUGGCAUCCGGCUGGAGGAGGUGGCGUUGGUGUUCCGGCUGGAGGAGGUGACAUUGGUCCGGCCGGUGGCAAACGGAAGAGGGAGGAUGAUGAUGUUGUCGAUGAUGUUUGUAAGAAAUUUAGAUGUUAUUAGUAUGUUAUUGAAUUUUAUAUCACCAUUAGACAUGUCAAAAGGAGUAGAGAUUAUCGGACAAUUCUUGACCCAGCACGAUAUAUACUAGUCGUUAGAUAUCGAAUACCCUUAAAAAUUGGGUUAUUUGUCGAAUGAUAAGAAUCACGAAAUAUUGUGUAUGAGAUAUACCAAUUCGAUUUAGGUAUAUUUAGUGAUUUACUUUUCAUUCACAAAA